Molecule: ribosomal RNA, 653 nt
Filed under: bacterium LB-169
Lineage: Bacteria
Description: bacterial SSU rRNA
Rfam family: Bacterial small subunit ribosomal RNA
Source: RNAcentral
AAUACCCUGGUAGUCCACGCUGUAAACGAUGUCGACUUGGAGGUUGUUCCCUUGAGGAGUGGCUUCCGGAGCUAACGCGUUAAGUCGACCGCCUGGGGAGUACGGCCGCAAGGUUAAAACUCAAAUGAAUUGACGGGGGCCCGCACAAGCGGUGGAGCAUGUGGUUUAAUUCGAUGCAACGCGAAGAACCUUACCUACUCUUGACAUCCAGAGAACUUAGCAGAGAUGCUUUGGUGCCUUCGGGAACUCUGAGACAGGUGCUGCAUGGCUGUCGUCAGCUCGUGUUGUGAAAUGUUGGGUUAAGUCCCGCAACGAGCGCAACCCUUAUCCUUUGUUGCCAGCGGUUCGGCCGGGAACUCAAAGGAGACUGCCAGUGAUAAACUGGAGGAAGGUGGGGAUGACGUCAAGUCAUCAUGGCCCUUACGAGUAGGGCUACACACGUGCUACAAUGGCAUAUACAAAGAGAAGCGACCUCGCGAGAGCAAGCGGACCUCAUAAAGUAUGUCGUAGUCCGGAUUGGAGUCUGCAACUCGACUCCAUGAAGUCGGAAUCGCUAGUAAUCGUAGAUCAGAAUGCUACGGUGAAUACGUUCCCGGGCCUUGUACACACCGCCCGUCACACCAUGGGAGUGGGUUGCAAAAGAAGUAGGUAGC